UCAAGCUAAUAAGAGCGCAGGGAGGAUGCCUUGGCAUUGGGAGCCGACGAAGGACGUGGUAAGCUGCGAAAAGCUGCGGGGAAUUGCAAGCAAGUAUUGAUCCGCAGAUGUCCGAAUGGAGCAAUCCGUUAAGAGUAAUAUCUUAACAUCAUAUACUGAAUCAAUAGGUAUAUGAGGGGAACCGCCUGAACUGAAACAUCUAAGUAGGGCGAGGAAAAGAAAUCAACCGAGAUUCCGAAAGUAGUGGCGAGCGAAAUCGGAAGAGGCUAAACCGAACUCAGAAAUGAGAUCGGGGUUUAGGACUGCAUUUAGUAUUGAAAUGAGCGAGCAGAAUGCUUUGGGAAAAGCAGCCGAAGAACGUGAGAGCCGUGUAAGCGAAGUGAGUUUCAGCGAGCAGUAUCCAAAGUACCGCGGGGCACGUGAAAUCCCGUGGGAAGAUGGGGGGACCACCCUCCAAGCCUAAAUACUACCCAAUGACCGAUAGCGAAUAGUACUGUGAAGGAAAGGUGAAAAGCACCCCGGGAGGGGAGUGAAAAAGAACCUGAAACCCUGUGCUUACAAGCACUGAGAGCUCGUCAAAGAGUGAUCAGGUACCUAUUGUAGAAUGGUCCGGCGAGUUAUGAUAUGCAGCAAGGUUAAGUACUUAAGGUACGGAGCCGCAGCGAGAGCGAGUCUGAAUAGGGCGUAAAGUUGUAUGUCAUAGACCCGAAACCGAGUGACCUAGCCAUGUCCAGGCUGAAGUGGAGGUAAAACUCCAUGGAGGGCCGAACCGACCUCCGUUGAAAAGGCGGCGGAUGAGGUGUGGCUAGCGGAGAAAUUCCAAUCGAACUCGGAUAUAGCUGGUUCUCUCCGAAAUAGCUUUAGGGCUAGCGUUGCAACAGAUUACCGGAGGUAAAGCACUGAAUAGGCUAGGGGGCGAGAGCUUACUGAACCUUAUCAAACUAAGAAUGCCGGAUAAUUGAUUUGCAGCAGUCAGACAGUGUGAGAUAAGUUUCAUUGUCAAAAGGGAAACAGCCCAGACCCACAGCUAAGGUCCCAAAGUACAUUUGAGUGGAAAAGGAUGUGGGGUUGCAUAGACAACCGGGAUGUUGGCUUAGAAGCAGCCAUACAUUAAAAGAGUGCGUAAUAGCUCACCGGUCGAGUGACCCUGCGCCGAAAAUUCAACGGGGCUAAAAUGUACACCGAAGCUUGGGAUUGCAGUUACUGAACAAAGCAGAUUGAUGAAAAGGUUGAAUCUGGCCGAAGGCAAAAUUCAACUAAAAAGCUAAAAGUCAGUAAGCUUUGUUCAGUAACUGCAGUGGUAGGAGAGCGUCGAAUACGGGGUGAAGUCAGAGCGGAAGCGCUGGUGGACUGUAUUCGAGUGAGAAUGCCGGAAUGAGUAGCGAGAAUUAUGUGAGAAUCAUAAUGGCCGAAAGUCUAAGGUUUUGGAAGGAAGGUUCGUCCGCUUCCAGUAAGCCGGGAGCUAAGGUGAGGCCGAAAGGCGUAGCCGAUGCACAUACGGUUGAAAUUCCGUAGCCUCCGAAGUAUUUAAACAGAAGGACACUUGAGAAGUGAUGAUGCCGGGCGAUGGUUGACCCGGUCGUAAGGGACCGAAAUUUAGUAGGGAAGUCAUCAUGGAUCGAGGCGAGAAAAGUUCUGUGAAUAUACAAGGAGCCCGUACCGCAAACCGACACAGGUAGAUAGGAAGAAAAUUCUAAGGCCAACGGGAGAAGGGUUGUUAAGGAACUCGGCAAGUUGACCCCGUAACUUCGGAAUAAGGGGUGCUCAGGAAACUGAGCCGCAGAGAAUAGGUCCAGGCGACUGUUUAGCAAAAACACAGCUCUAUGCUAAAUCGAAAGAUGAUGUAUAUGGGGUGACACCUGCCCGGUGCCGGAAGGUUAAGAGGAGGCGUGAGAGCGCUGAAUUGAAGCCCCGGUAAACGGCGGCCGUAACUAUAACGGUCCUAAGGUAGCGAAAUUCCUUGUCAGGUAAGUUCUGACCCGCACGAAUGGUGUAACGAUCUGGGCACUGUCUCAACAACCCGCCCGGCGAAAUUGUAGUACCGGUGAAGAUGCCGGUUACCCGCGACUAGACGGAAAGACCCCAUGGAGCUUUACUGCAGCUUAAUGUUGAAUUUCGGUAUUUCAUGUACAGGAUAGGUGGGAGACUGGGAACUACAGGCGUCAGCUUGUGGGGAGUCACUGUUGGGAUACCACUCUUGAAGUGCUGGAAUUCUAACCUGCGGCCUUGAAUCAGGUCGGGGGACAUCGUUAGGCGGGCAGUUUGACUGGGGCGGUCGCCUCCAAAAGAGUAACGGAGGCGCUCAAAGGUCAGCUCAGCAUGGAUGGAAACCAUGCAAGUGAGUGCAAACGCAAAAGCUGGCCUAACUGCGAGACUGACGGGUCGAGCAGUAACGAAAGUUGGAGUUAGUGAUCCGGCGGUAUGUGAGUGGAAAUGCCGUCGCUCAACGGAUAAAAGCUACCCUGGGGAUAACAGGCUGAUCUCCCCCAAGAGUCCACAUCGACGGGGAGGUUUGGCACCUCGAUGUCGGCUCAUCGCAUCCUGGGGCUGAAUUCGGUCCCAAGGGUUUGGCUGUUCGCCAAUUAAAGCGGUACGCGAGCUGGGUUCAGAACGUCGUGAGACAGUUCGGUCCCUAUCUGUCGUGGGCGCAGGAUAUUUGAAAGGAGCUGUCCCUAGUACGAGAGGACCGGGAUGGACGCACCUCUGGUGCACCGGUUGUCGUGCCAACGGCACAGCCGGGCAGCUAAGUGCGGAACGGAUAAACGCUGAAGGCAUCUAAGCGUGAAACCGCCCUUAAGAUAAGAUAUCCCAUCGAAAGAGUAAGACCCCUCAAAGACUAUGAGGUUGAUAGGCCUAUGGUGUAAGCAUGGUGACAUGUUCAGCCUGCAGGUACUAAUCGGUCGAGGGCUUGACCUU
This 2916-nucleotide ribosomal RNA is filed under the name human metagenome. Its description in RNAcentral is "bacterial LSU rRNA". It matches the Rfam family "Bacterial large subunit ribosomal RNA". The record is from RNAcentral.